RNAcentral lists this ribosomal RNA (253 nucleotides) under uncultured bacterium. Its description in RNAcentral is "partial 16S ribosomal RNA". It matches the Rfam family "Bacterial small subunit ribosomal RNA", at positions 524 to 776 of the family's 1533-position model. The record is from RNAcentral.
UACGUAGGGAGCAAGCGUUGUCCGGAAUCAUUGGGCGUAAAGCGCGCGUAGGUGGCCUCAUAAGUCCGCUGUGAAAGUCAAAGGCUCAACCUUUGAAAGCCGGUGGAUACUGUGGGGCUAGAGUACGGAAGAGGCGAGUGGAAUUCCUGGUGUAGCGGUGGAAUGCGCAGAUAUCAGGAGGAACACCAAUAGCGAAGGCAGCUCGCUGGGACGUUACUGACACUGAGACGCGAAAGCGUGGGGAGCGAACAGG